ACAACAUUCGGACCGUCGGUCUACCGAGCAAUAUCAACCGCUCGAGGGAAGAUCUUCCUUUCGUCGU
RNAcentral lists this microRNA precursor (67 nucleotides) under Bombyx mori (domestic silkworm). RNAcentral describes it as "mir-2774 microRNA precursor family". It matches the Rfam family "mir-2774 microRNA precursor family". The record is from Rfam by way of RNAcentral. Lineage: Eukaryota; Metazoa; Arthropoda; Insecta; Lepidoptera; Bombycidae.